This 429-nucleotide ribosomal RNA is filed under the name Bacteroidota bacterium. RNAcentral's name for it is "Bacteroidetes bacterium partial 16S ribosomal RNA". It matches the Rfam family "Bacterial small subunit ribosomal RNA", at positions 355 to 776 of the family's 1533-position model. The record is from RNAcentral. Lineage: Bacteria; Pseudomonadati; Bacteroidota.
UAGGGAAUCUUCCGCAAUGGACGCAAGUCUGACGGAGCAACGCCGCGUGAGUGAAGAAGGAUUUCGGUUCGUAAAACUCUGUUGUUAGAGAAGAACAGCGCAUAGAGUAACUGUUAUGCGUGUGACGGUAUCUAACCAGAAAGCCACGGCUAACUACGUGCCAGCAGCCGCGGUAAUACGUAGGUGGCAAGCGUUGUCCGGAUUUAUUGGGCGUAAAGCGAGCGCAGGCGGUCAAUUAAGUCUGGUGUGAAAGCCCCCGGCUCAACCGGGGAGGGUCAUUGGAAACUGGUUGACUGGAGUGCAGAAGAGGAGAGUGGAAUUCCAUGUGUAGCGUUGAAAUGCGAAGAUAUAUGGAGGAAAACCAGUGGCGAAGGCGACUCUCUGGUCUGUAACUGACGCUGAGGCUCGAAAGCGUGGGUAGCAAACAGG